GACGAACGCUGGCGGCGUGCUUAACACAUGCAAGUCGAACGAUGAAGCGGUGCUUGCACCGUGGAUUAGUGGCGAACGGGUGAGUAAUACGUGAGUGACCUACCUUUGACUCUGGGAUAAGCCUGGGAAACUGGGUCUAAUACCGGAUACGACCAAUCUCUGCAUGGGGUGUUGGUGGAAAGCGUUAUGGAGUGGUUUUAGAUGGGCUCACGGCCUAUCAGCUUGUUGGUGAGGUAAUGGCUUACCAAGGCGACGACGGGUAGCCGGCCUGAGAGGGUGACCGGCCACACUGGGACUGAGACACGGCCCAGACUCCUACGGGAGGCAGCAGUGGGGAAUAUUGCACAAUGGGCGCAAGCCUGAUGCAGCGACGCCGCGUGAGGGAUGACGGCCUUCGGGUGGUAAACCUCUGUUAGCAUCGAAGAAGCGAAAGUGACGGUAGGUGCAGAGAAAGCGCCGGCUAACUACUU
RNAcentral lists this ribosomal RNA (470 nucleotides) under uncultured bacterium. RNAcentral's name for it is "partial 16S ribosomal RNA". It matches the Rfam family "Bacterial small subunit ribosomal RNA", at positions 28 to 506 of the family's 1533-position model. The record is from RNAcentral.